GACGAACGCUGGCGGCGUGCUUAACACAUGCAAGUCGAACGGAAAGGCCCUGCUUUUGUGGGGUGCUCGAGUGGCGAACGGGUGAGUAACACGUGAGUAACCUGCCCUUGACUUUGGGAUAACUUCAGGAAACUGGGGCUAAUACCGGAUAGGAGCUCCUGCUGCAUGGUGGGGGUUGGAAAGUUUCGGCGGUUGGGGAUGGACUAGCGGCUUAUCAGCUUGUUGGUGGGGUAGUGGCUUACCAAGGUUUUGACGGGUAGCAGGCCUGAGAGGGUGACCGGCCACAUUGGGACUGAGAUACGGCCCAGACUCCUACGGUAGGCAGCAGUGGGGAAUAUUGCACAAUGGGCGGAAGCCUGAUGCAGCAACGCCGCGUGCGUGAUGACGUCCUUCGGGUUGUAAACCGCUUUCGCCUGUGACGAAGCGUUAGUGACGGUAAUGGGUAAAGAAGCACCGGCUAACUACGUG
RNAcentral lists this ribosomal RNA (468 nucleotides) under uncultured bacterium. RNAcentral describes it as "partial 16S ribosomal RNA". It matches the Rfam family "Bacterial small subunit ribosomal RNA", at positions 28 to 507 of the family's 1533-position model. The record is from RNAcentral.